RNAcentral lists this ribosomal RNA (261 nucleotides) under uncultured bacterium. RNAcentral describes it as "partial 16S ribosomal RNA". It matches the Rfam family "Bacterial small subunit ribosomal RNA", at positions 793 to 1055 of the family's 1533-position model. The record is from RNAcentral.
GUCCACGCUGUAAACGAUGAAUACUAGGUGUUGGAGGCAUUAGCCUCCAGUGCCGCAGCUAACGCAUUAAGUAUUCCACCUGGGGAGUACGAUCGCAAGGUUGAAACUCAAAGGAAUUGACGGGGGCCCGCACAAGCAGUGGAGCAUGUGGUUUAAUUCGAUGCAACGCGAAGAACCUUACCUAGGCUUGAAAGGCAAGUGACAGGGUGUGAAAGCACCCCUCCAGCAAUGGCACUUGUACAGGUGCUGCAUGGCUGUCGU